This 835-nucleotide ribosomal RNA is filed under the name uncultured Pseudomonadota bacterium. RNAcentral's name for it is "bacterial SSU rRNA". It matches the Rfam family "Bacterial small subunit ribosomal RNA", at positions 33 to 884 of the family's 1533-position model. The record is from RNAcentral. Lineage: Bacteria; Pseudomonadati; Pseudomonadota.
ACGCUGGCGGCAUGCCUAACACAUGCAAGUCGAACGAGAAAGCUUCUUCGGAAGUGAUUAAAGUGGCGCACGGGUGAGUAACGCGUAGACAAUCUGCCCUUCAGUCCGGGACAACUUUCCGAAAGGGGAGCUAAUACCGGAUAACAAUGUUUAACAUAAGUUUAAUAUUUGAAAGCUCCGGCGCUGAUGGAUGAGUCUGCGUCCCAUUAGCUUGUUGGUGCGGUAGUGGCGCACCAAGGCUACGAUGGGUAGCGGGUUUGAGAGGACGAUCCGCCACACUGGAACUGAGACACGGUCCAGACUCCUACGGGAGGCAGCAGUGGGGAAUAUUGCACAAUGGAGGAAACUCUGAUGCAGCAAUGUCGCGUGAGUGAAGAAGGCCCUUGGGUCGUAAAGCUCUUUUAUGGGGGAAGAUAAUGACGGUACCCCAGGAAUAAGCACCGGCUAACUACGUGCCAGCAGCCGCGGUAAUACGUAGGGUGCGAGCGUUGUUCGGAAUUACUGGGCGUAAAGGGCGCGCAGGCGGAGGUGUAAGUCGGAGGUGAAAGCCCGGGGCUCAACCCCGGAGGGUCUUUCGAAACUGCAUCUCUAGAGAGGGUCAGGGGCCGGCAGAAUUCCUGGUGUAGAGGUGAAAUUCGUAGAUAUCAGGAGGAAUACCGGUGGCGAAAGCGGCCGGCUGGGGCCACUCUGACGCUGAGGCGCGAAAGCGUGGGGAGCAAACAGGAUUAGAUACCCUGGUAGUCCACGCCGUAAACGAUGAGCACUGGACGUUCGGAGGGUUCGACCCUUCUGGGUGUUUCAGCUAACGCAUUAAGUGCUCCGCCUGGGGAGUACG